CAGUCGCCGCGGGAAUACGAAGGGGGCUAGCGUUGCUCGGAAUUACUGGGCGUAAAGGGCGCGUAGGCGGACAGUUCAGUCGGGGGUGAAAGCCCGGGGCUCAACCUCGGAAUUGCCUUCGAUACUGGCUGUCUUGAGUAUGAGAGAGGUGUGUGGAACUCCGAGUGUAGAGGUGAAAUUCGUAGAUAUUCGGAAGAACACCAGUGGCGAAGGCGACACACUGGCUCAUUACUGACGCUGAGGCGCGAAAGCGUGGGGAGCGAACAGGAUUAGAUACCCCCGUAGUCCAUGUCUCUUAUAC
RNAcentral lists this ribosomal RNA (301 nucleotides) under uncultured bacterium. Its description in RNAcentral is "partial 16S ribosomal RNA". It matches the Rfam family "Bacterial small subunit ribosomal RNA", at positions 509 to 807 of the family's 1533-position model. The record is from RNAcentral.